UCUACACUUUAUUAGAGAGACGCAUUUAUUAGAUAAAAAGCCAAUGCAUGCUUUUACAGUAUGGAAAUUGGUGAUUUAUAAUAACUUGGCAAAUCGCAAAGUGAAAACAGGCGAUAAAUCAUUCAAGUUUCUGACCUAUCAGCUUUCGACGGUAUGGUAUUGGCUUACCGUGGCAGUGACGGUUAACGGGGGAUUAGGGUUCGAUUCCGGAGAGGGAGCCUGAGAAACGGCUACCACAUCUAAGGAAGGCAGCAGGCGCGCAAAUUACCCAAUUCUAACAGUUUGAGAGAGGUAGUAACAAGAAAUAACAAUACAAGGCAAUUAAAAUGCUUUGUAAUUGGAAUGAUAGAAAUUUAAACCCUUUUUAAAGUAUCAAUUGGAGGGCAAGUCUGGUGCCAGCAGCCGCGGUAAUUCCAGCUCCAAUAGCGUAUAUUAAAAUUGUUGCAGUUAAAAAGCUCGUAGUUGAAGUUCUGCUAAAAGUAACCGGUCUGCUUUUAAUAAAAGUGGUAUCUUGGUGUGUAUUUAGCAAUGAUGUCCUUUGAAGUGUUUUUUACUUUAUUGUA
RNAcentral lists this ribosomal RNA (563 nucleotides) under Hepatozoon canis. RNAcentral's name for it is "bacterial SSU rRNA". It matches the Rfam family "Eukaryotic small subunit ribosomal RNA", at positions 181 to 734 of the family's 1831-position model. The record is from RNAcentral. Lineage: Eukaryota; Apicomplexa; Hepatozoidae.